GCGUGCCCACGCGCACGCGUGGCCGCCUGCCAGUCGCAGCCACGGGCACAACCGAGCACAAGGAUACACUCCACUGUCACCUCUCUCCCGGCGAACUGGCUUGACGGUUACUGCCAAAUGGAGACCCGCGCUUGGUGUAGAAAUACUUGUCCUGGCACCGCCAGGCUGGACUCAGAGCACAGCUCCACACUGGGAAAAGGACAUGGAACCUCCACCUGGAGGGCAGUAUAAGCUCCCAGCGACCGCUCCAGCACCAUGCCUGCCUGUCUGCUACCAUGUUGCCUGCCGUGAUAGUUAACGGACUAACCCAUGGGAGUCCCAGAUUAGACACUUGUCUCUGUUCACAGAGGUCCAUGGCCAGCAGAUCUGACCCAUGAAGACCUUCUGGGGAUGAAAGACCCACAUGUGAACCAUUUAUGACAUGCUCACUAGGGCCAGAGGACUGGAGGGGAGGCCUGUCCUGGUGUGAGCCUUUGAUUUUAAAACCUAAGAAGGCAUCUGA
Mus musculus (house mouse) is the source of this 502-nucleotide long non-coding RNA. RefSeq annotates it as predicted gene, 41375. Lineage: Eukaryota; Metazoa; Chordata; Mammalia; Rodentia; Muridae. The transcript is spliced from 3 exons. The record is from RefSeq and is a predicted model, not a curated record.